RNAcentral lists this ribosomal RNA (119 nucleotides) under Pteropus vampyrus (large flying fox). The record is from RNAcentral. Lineage: Eukaryota; Metazoa; Chordata; Mammalia; Chiroptera; Pteropodidae.
GUCUAUGGUCAUGCCACCCUGAACGUGCCUGAUCUCAUCUGAUCUCGGAAGCUAAGCAGAGUCAAGCCUGGUUAGUACUUGGAUGAGAGACCAUCUAGGAAUACCAGGUGCUGUAAGCA